Molecule: long non-coding RNA, 99 nt
Organism: Mustela erminea (ermine)
Lineage: Eukaryota; Metazoa; Chordata; Mammalia; Carnivora; Mustelidae
Exons: 3
Source: RefSeq, a predicted model, not a curated record
GGAGAAUGAACAAGGGAACUCAAAGCGAAGGUCUGGCAUUUUAGGAUGGUGAGUGUGCUCUGUACCUGGCUGCUUUCCAUAGGCACGUAGGACCAAAUU